UACGUAGGGUGCGAGCGUUGUCCGGAAUUAUUGGGCGUAAAGGGCUCGUAGGCGGUUUGUCGCGUCGGGAGUGAAAACACCGGGCUUAACUCGGUGCUUGCUUUCGAUACGGGCAGACUAGAGGCAUGCAGGGGAGAACGGAAUUCCUGGUGUAGCGGUGAAAUGCGCAGAUAUCAGGAGGAACACCAGCGGCGAAGGCGGCGCUCUGGGCUGGAACUGACGCUGAGGAGCGAAAGCGUGGGGAGCGAACAGG
Molecule: ribosomal RNA, 253 nt
Filed under: uncultured bacterium
Lineage: Bacteria
Description: partial 16S ribosomal RNA
Rfam family: Bacterial small subunit ribosomal RNA
Source: RNAcentral